UUGAAUAGGUAAUGGUUGUU
Molecule: non-coding RNA, 20 nt
Filed under: Arabidopsis thaliana (thale cress)
Lineage: Eukaryota; Viridiplantae; Streptophyta; Magnoliopsida; Brassicales; Brassicaceae
Source: RNAcentral